Molecule: long non-coding RNA, 1848 nt
Filed under: Vitis vinifera (wine grape)
Lineage: Eukaryota; Viridiplantae; Streptophyta; Magnoliopsida; Vitales; Vitaceae
Description: long non-coding RNA (VVIN_LNC000178)
Source: RNAcentral
GGCAUGGCUUAAAUACUUUGGGUUUUGAUUCUGAAUCAUCAGUUGUCACAGGUUCACCACCAUGAUGGGUCUCAAAAUUCAAAUUUGAGAUAAUACUACAGUCUGCCCCACUCUUGGUCAUCUCCACAGCUAUGCUGUCCCCCUUCCCAAAACCACUUCUUUGCCAUGCACCCAAUAUAUAGAAGAAACAGCACAAACCAACUACAAUGAAGAUAGAUAUAGAGCUCCUAGUCCUACUGUCGGCUGAGAUUAUUUUGGUUGCCAUAAUGAACCUGAAAUAUUUCCGGAUUAUUUAGAAAAUCGGAAUGAAAUGCAAAUCAGGCAAAAAUACACAAGGUGAAAAUUACAUAUAUAUAUAUAUUGCAAAUCAGGCAAAAAAAAUAUUGGGAUAACCAAUUAAAAGGGAUGAAAUCAUCCCCGCUUUGAAAAACUAACCCUUCACCAUUUUUUCAACCUAAAAAAUACCCAUUUUAGACAAAAAUACCCUCAUAUUUUUCUUGCAAAAGUAACUCUUUAUUUUAAAACACACAUGUAAAUAAUGAAAAUAUUGAAGGCUAUUUAUGUCAAAAAUGGGUUACUCUUCAAGUUCAAAAAAUGGGAGGUUAGGUCUACAAAUUUGGGAUGUUUUCAUCCAAUAUAAUCAAUUAAAUCCAAAAAUACAGGGUAAAAAUUUUAUAAAAAGAGACAUAUAUACAAAUAUGAAUAUAGAGCAAACAUCAAACAUCAUAUUACACCCGACUUACACUGUCAACAACUUUUUUGUGGAAUCAAUGAUUUGCCAAGCCCACCGUUAUAUUAUGUGUCAAUGAUGGAACAUUUAGAGCAGUACAUUUCAUAUAGAACUUCAAGUCGGAGUCCUAUCCCUCGUUUUUCCAUUUUUUUUUCAUCAUUAAAAAUUAAAAAGGAGAAAAAAAGAAUGAAGAAGAAGAAGAAGAAGAAGAAGAAGAAGAAGAAAGGGAGGCAAAUGGAUCCAGCAGCCGAUUAUAUCCAAGCAUCAUAGAUUUGGAAAUCACAAGUUGGAACAUAUUAUCCGACAGGGCUCUUGAAAAAUCACGGCUACCUCAUAAAUAUUCUUAGAUCUCACACCGGGCAUCAUUUGAUCCCUCUUCAUAUUUCAUUAGUCCCCACUAUACUUUUUAAAUCAACUUGUAGCCCAGAUGCUGGACUCCAAAACCCACAUUGCCUAAAAUAACUGAAAUCAGCACCUUUCCCUUUUCUUUCAACAUCAUAAAUCUACAAACUUUAACACAAGAACAACAACUAAAUUAUGUUCACAAAACUCUGACUGAGAACCAGUCCAUACAGACAAAAAUAAAAAACAAAAAAAUAAAAAAAUCCAGUACUCGGAUUUCUCAAAUUCCAAAACUAUAAGAUACAGAAUUACAGAACCACGAUCAAAAUCAUAAGAUCAAACUGAACAUUUAUGACACUUCCAAAAGCAGAAAACUAUGAACAGCUGGUUUGAGCUAGUAAAAGGGCAGUGAUGAACAAAAGACAACACUCGCCACCUCAAACCAACACCUUAAAUGAAAAUAACAAUAAUAAUUCCGACAAACAAGAAACUAGUAAAGCAAUCUUAAAGAAAAAACACAGCAAAAACAAUCGAGAGAGUGAGAAAUCAAAUCAAACAAGGAAUGAUGAAGAAAACAACAAAUGUGCAUCGAUUGUUCAGAUCCCGUACCAAUCGCAUGAAGCGAAGCCAACAGUGAUUCGCUAAUCAAAAUCGAGACUACACAUCAAAGUGAGAGAUUUCAGAUUCGGUCUUUCGCGUAUGAGAUGACUAUCGAGUUUAUAGAUCGAAGAGACGCGUCUCUCCCUCUCUAUGCAUCAACCUAAUCUUUAUUUCUG